This 778-nucleotide ribosomal RNA is filed under the name Nocardioides sp. Its description in RNAcentral is "bacterial SSU rRNA". It matches the Rfam family "Bacterial small subunit ribosomal RNA", at positions 40 to 832 of the family's 1533-position model. The record is from RNAcentral. Lineage: Bacteria; Bacillati; Actinomycetota; Actinomycetes; Propionibacteriales; Nocardioidaceae.
CGGCGUGCUUAACACAUGCAAGUCGAGCGGUAAGGCUCCUUCGGGAGUACACGAGCGGCGAACGGGUGAGUAACACGUGAGCAAUCUGCCCUUCACUUUGGGAUAACUACCGGAAACGGUGGCUAAUACCGAAUACGACAACUCCAGGCAUCUGGUGGUUGUGGAAAGUUCUGGCGGUGAAGGAUGAGCUCGCGGCCUAUCAGCUUGUUGGUGAGGUAAUGGCUCACCAAGGCUUCGACGGGUAGCCGGCCUGAGAGGGUGACCGGCCACACUGGGACUGAGACACGGCCCAGACUCCUACGGGAGGCAGCAGUGGGGAAUAUUGGACAAUGGGCGAAAGCCUGAUCCAGCAACGCCGCGUGAGGGAUGACGGCCUUCGGGUUGUAAACCUCUUUCAGCAGGGACGAAGCGAAAGUGACGGUACCUGCAGAAGAAGCACCGGCCAACUACGUGCCAGCAGCCGCGGUAAUACGUAGGGUGCGAGCGUUGUCCGGAAUUAUUGGGCGUAAAGGGCUCGUAGGCGGUUUGUCACGUCGGGAGUGAAAACCAGGUGCUUAACACCUGGCCUGCUUCCGAUACGGGCAGACUAGAGGUAUGCAGGGGAGAACGGAAUUCCUGGUGUAGCGGUGAAAUGCGCAGAUAUCAGGAGGAACACCGGUGGCGAAGGCGGUUCUCUGGGCAUUACCUGACGCUGAGGAGCGAAAGUGUGGGGAGCGAACAGGAUUAGAUACCCUGGUAGUCCACGCCGUAAACGUUGGGCGCUAGGUGUGGGACUCAU